UUCACUUUUUUUUUUCUUUCUAAUUUUCGUUCGUCGUCCCCUCCCCUUCCGGCGCCAUCUCCUGCCCCGUCCUUCGCCACCACCAUUCCCAGCCCCGCUUCCUCACGCGCGUCGGUCGUCCGAGCCCCGCCGUCCGCCCACCUCCACCCCCUCCCUCCCAACGGUAAGCCUGCUCUGCUGCUGGCGCGACGGGCCUUCUUCAGGCAACGCCGCUCUACUUAUGGACAGGCGGAGCUGUCGCCGGUUCCCUCUGCCUCCAAUGACACAGCGUGGCGGCGGCGAGAAGGAGCGCGUACGGAAGCAGCGACGUACAGAAUCGUUCUUGGAUCAAGAAGAUUUCACCCCCCAGGCCAUCUUCACAUCGCCGAGUUGUUUGCAGGUCAUUUUCGUGCUGUUGCUUAAACCAUUGAAGGUUUGACCUCACAGUAGGCCUAGAUGGGGAGGAUUAAGGAGCCCGAGAGCAAUGUAUUUUUAGCAUCAAAAUUCAGAAAUGCAGUAUGUUGUAGGAAUGGAUGUUAUAUUGUAAGACUGUCUUACUGUUGUUCUAGAUUAUUUCAUCUUAUAAAAAAAUGUUUGUA
Long non-coding RNA from Hordeum vulgare subsp. vulgare (domesticated barley), 578 nucleotides. RefSeq lists it as uncharacterized. NCBI's taxonomy places the organism in Eukaryota, Viridiplantae, Streptophyta, Magnoliopsida, Poales, Poaceae. The transcript has 2 exons. The record is from RefSeq and is a predicted model, not a curated record.